CCUACGGGGGACAGCAGUGAGGAAUAUUGGUCAAUGGCCGAGAGGCUGAACCAGCCAAGUCGCGUGAGGGAAGACGGCCCUACGGGUUGUAAACCUCUUUUGUCGGGGAGCAAAGCGAACCACGUGUGGGUCAUUGAGAGGACCCGAAGAAAAAGCAUCGGCUAACGCCGUGCCAGCAGCCGCGGUAAUACGGAGGAUGCGAGCGUUAUCCGGAUUUCUGGGGUUUAAAGAGUGCGCAGGCGGAGGUGCAAGUCAGCGGUCCAAUUGCGGGGCUCAACCCCGUACUGCCGUUGAAACUGCCUCCCUUGAGUGCGCGAGCCGUAUGCGCAAUGCGUGGUGUAGCGG
RNAcentral lists this ribosomal RNA (345 nucleotides) under uncultured bacterium. RNAcentral describes it as "partial 16S ribosomal RNA". It matches the Rfam family "Bacterial small subunit ribosomal RNA", at positions 338 to 681 of the family's 1533-position model. The record is from RNAcentral.